This 295-nucleotide ribosomal RNA is filed under the name uncultured Methanobacterium sp. Its description in RNAcentral is "partial 16S ribosomal RNA". It matches the Rfam family "Archaeal small subunit ribosomal RNA", at positions 353 to 652 of the family's 1478-position model. Lineage: Archaea; Methanobacteriati; Methanobacteriota; Methanobacteria; Methanobacteriales; Methanobacteriaceae. The record is from RNAcentral.
CAAUGCGAGCAAUCGUGAUAAGGGAACUCCGAGUGCCCGUAAAAUCGGGCUGUCCGCCAGUGUAAAUAACUGGUGAAGAAAGGGCCGGGCAAGACCGGUGCCAGCCGCCGCGGUAAUACCGGCGGCUCGAGUGGUGGCCACUAUUACUGGGCUUAAAGCGUUCGUAGCUGGUCUGUUAAGUCUCUGGGGAAAUCUUCCGGCUUAACCGGAAGGCGUCUCAGGGAUACUGACAGACUAGGGACCGGAAGAGGUGAGAGGUACUCCAGGGGUAGGAGUGAAAUCCUGUAAUCCUUGG